Molecule: long non-coding RNA, 1878 nt
Organism: Ostrinia nubilalis (European corn borer)
Lineage: Eukaryota; Metazoa; Arthropoda; Insecta; Lepidoptera; Crambidae
Exons: 2
Source: RefSeq, a predicted model, not a curated record
CUUCAGUUGUCAAUACUGUCAUUCAUUAUUAUGACUUUUUUGUUAUGUUUAUUUUCACUGUUUUUGCACAUUUCGUGAAUUUCACUAUUUGUAUUUCAGGAUGAAAUGCAAUGAAUUCGAAAUGAGUAAACCUCGUCACUCGAAGAACUUGGAUAAUUUAGACAAAGCUCUUCAAGAUUUGGGCAUGCUAAGUGCUAUUACGGAAGCGCGUCGUGAGUAUUUACGUGAAUCACACACUACUUUGGGAAUGAUGCGGCUAAACACGCGGUUCGUUUCCAACGUCACUGUGGGGUAUUGUAUGCGGAGAUCGACGAAUAAAAACAGGCUGUGCCCUUAUGUUUUGCCCGUCAGACAUAGAACCAAGAGUGAGAACUCUGAAGCGAUUACUGGUGACGUGAAAGACGGUGGGAGCGAAUUCAAAAGCAUACUGGAGCCGUCCACGAGUGGAUUCGGCAAUCACGAGUGUGCAAAGAGUCCCGCAAAGAGGUGUCAAUCUCUGGAAAACCUGAAUCUGUCAUUGGAAUCCCAUUCCAACCCAGAAGUGUCACCCGAUAUGGAUGGUGUGUCAACAAGGAUCCAAAAACUACAAGUUGAUGAAUGACACCAAAAUGUUUUAUCUUUGUCAAUAACAUAGCAAAGAGAUAGUAGAGUAGUUCUCAGUGGAUGUUUGUAAAAAUAUUUUUCAGUGUAUUUGUACCAAUGGAUUUGGACCCUUACUAAUGUAAAUGCGCUUUUUAUUUUUGUUUGUUAUUUUGUUCAUAAGGUUUUAUUUAAUUUUGGGAGCUUCCAUGUGAUUUGUAAUAAUAUUCAUAGUAAUGUAGUGGAAAUAGGAAUUCAUUAGGACUUUGUGCGAUGAUAUACUUAUAUGCUUACUUUUCUAAGUUCAGUUCACACUUCAGUACAAAUGUGAUUAAUCUCUAAUUAUUUCAAGUUAAAUACCUGUUAAUUUAGUUCAUACUUAUUUAAAUCUUAUUUACAGUCAUUUGUUUUAGAGUUUUCCAAUGAAUUGCCAUUAACAGAAGUGUUUGUAAGUUUUAUAAAACAGGAUGUUUUUGUUUGGAAUCAGAGAUUUAUGUUUGGACAGUUAGUAAGGGUAGGUGAGUGUAAAGUUGAUUGUCAAUGUUCCUAGUUCCUUGGCAUAAUACAAAUAGAAUUUGCAUGUGUAACCCAGUUUAACACAAUUUCAGGGCAGCUGUGUGUGUUUGUAAAAUAAGCAAAUUGCUCAAAAUUAUUUAGAUUGGGUACAAAGUAACAUAAUUAAUGAAUUUAUUUUGUAUCUGCACUAAGACAUUGUUGGUGAUGAGUUUGUUAACUGUGAGGAUUACAAUGAUUUUUUAUGGUUACCUAAAAUAAGUACCACAUAAGUGUAUAAUAUUAAGAACAAAUUACCUUGUUUUAACUAAGUCACAGUUGCACUUGAAGCCUAAUCAUGAGGACAUAUUCUUGGUAAAGUACCCUCUACUACCUAUUUAGUUCAAAUCUGUGUACCUACAUAUUUUAAAAAUUACAGUAUUACUUAAAUAUUUUAUUACUUGUUUUUAUUAGGUAUAGUUUGAAAUGUUUGUUUGAAAUUUAAUACAUUAGGAAUUGUUUCCUAUAAUCAGAUUUUAGGUGUGUUUUUUCAUAAUAUUACGAUAUUUUAAACUAAGGCACCGGUUUGUCCACACUAAGACUGUCAUGAGAUCUCAUUAAUUUCAAAUGCAUAGUUAAUUUCGCUUUAAAUUGUUUAAAUUAUUCACAGCUACUCUUGUACACAGUUCACUGCAAAUCUGCUUUUGUGACUUAGCAAAAAAUACUUAUGUUUGUUAAACAUAUUUUGUUAUUUUAUCUUAUUUAAUAAUAACAAAUAUUUGAAAUAAAUAUUGCUUUGAUAAAUUA